GCAAGAAGCAGCUCCAGAAACUGGAGUCCAGGGUCCGUGAACUGGAAGCUGAAGUUGACGCUGAGCAGAGACGAGGAAGUGAUGCUGUGAAAGGUGUCCGCAAAUAUGAGAGGAGAGUGAAAGAGUUGACCUACCAGACUGAGGAGGACAAGAAGAAUGUGCACAGACUCC
Molecule: long non-coding RNA, 171 nt
Organism: Seriola dumerili (greater amberjack)
Lineage: Eukaryota; Metazoa; Chordata; Actinopteri; Carangiformes; Carangidae
Exons: 3
Source: RefSeq, a predicted model, not a curated record